Long non-coding RNA from Oreochromis aureus, 1613 nucleotides. NCBI's taxonomy places the organism in Eukaryota, Metazoa, Chordata, Actinopteri, Cichliformes, Cichlidae. The record is from Ensembl.
CCCAAACAAGAAAAAGCCAAGAUAAAAGCAGGAAAAUCAAGUCCUGCAGCUGAUGCAGCAGUUUAUUCUGAAAUCACAUUAGGAAGCUUUCCUGGUCAGUGAAGAGAGCUGCAGCAGCAAAGCUAUGGGCUCAAAAUGUGGUCAUAAAUAUUUUGUACUUGUAAAUCAGUUUUAAGAUAAGAUAAGAUAAGAUAAACCUUUAUUAGUCCCACACGUGGGAAAUUUGUUUUGUCACAGCAGGAAGUGGACAGUGCAAAAGUUAUGAAGCAAAAAUUAGAAUAAAAUAAAAUAAGAAUAAAUACCGUACACAACUGUACAGAAUAGAAUAAAAUAAAAUACUAUAUACAGUAGAAUAAAAUAGGAUAAAAUAUACAAUAAGAUAAAAAUAGAAUACAAAUGCUAUAUACAACUGAGUAAAAAUACAACGAUGCCAGAAAAGAUUAUUGCACAUUUGUGGAUGUGUGUGUUUGAUCAGUUGAAGUUUUUAUUGUGGAGUCUGACAGCAGUGGGGAGGAAAGACCUGCGAAAUCUCUCCGUCCCACACUGUGGGUGCCGCAGUCUCCCACUGAAGGAGCUGCUCAGUGCUGUCAGAGUCUCCUGCAUGGGGUGGGAGAUGUUGUCCAACAGGGAUGACAGCUUAGCCACCAUUCUCCUGUCACUCACCACCUCCACUGGGUCCAGAGGGCAUCCUAGAACAGAGCUGGCCCUGCGGAUCAGCCUGUUCAGUCUCUUCCUGUCCCCGGCAGAGAUGCUGCCGCCCCAGCAGACCACACCGUAAAAGAUGGCUGAGGCCACCACAGAGUCAUAGAAGGUCUUCAGGAGUGGGCCCUCCACUCCAAACGACCUGAGUCUCCGCAGAGGGCGGAGAGGGCGUCUGAAUUAUGAGUCCAGUCCAGUUUGCUGUUCAGAUGAACACCAAGGUACCUGUAGCUGUCCACAGCCUCAAUGUCCAUACCUUGGAUGUUCAGUGGUUGCAGUGGAGGAUGUUUGUGCCUGCGGAAGUCUACCACCAGCUCCUUGGUUUUACUGGCAUUGAUCUGGAGGUAGUUCAGCUGGCACCAGUCCACAAAGUCUUGAGUCAGUCCUCUGUACUCCUUGUCGUCCCCAUCAGUGAUGAGGCCGACUAUAGCAGAGUCAUCAGAGAACUUCUGCAGGAAGCACUGGGUUGAGUUGUGGGAGAAGUCUGCAGUGUAGAUGGUGAAGAGGAACGGAGCCAGAACCGUUCCCUGUGGGGCCCCCGUACAACCCUGUCCGACACACAGCCCUGAGUCCUCACAUACUGUGGUCGGUUGGUGAGGUAGUCCAGAAUCCAGGUAGUGAGGUGAUGGUCCACUCCAGAGUUCUCCAGCUUGUCCUUCAGAACCGAGGGAAGAAUGGUGUUGAAGGCACUGGAGAAAUCAAAGAACAUGAUUCUCACAGUGCUCCCAGCGGUCUCCAGGUGAGCGAGGGAACGAUGUAGGAGGUGAAUGAUGGCAUCAUCCGCUCCAAUGCCAGGUUGGUAGGCAAACUGAAGUGGGUACAGUUUGUACAUGUAAAUCAGGAUUUGUAUGUGUAAAAAUAAUUUGUGUGUGCGUAAAAAAGAUUUGUAUGUGUAAAAAGAAUUUGUGUGUGCG